GCAGUGGUGAUUCAGUGGUAGAAUUCUCGCCUUCUAUGCGGGUGACCCAGGUUUGAUUCCAGCCAAGGCA
This 70-nucleotide transfer RNA is filed under the name Loxodonta africana (African savanna elephant). It matches the Rfam family "tRNA". Rfam says of the family: Transfer RNA (tRNA) molecules are approximately 80 nucleotides in length. Their secondary structure includes four short double-helical elements and three loops (D, anti-codon, and T loops). The record is from Rfam by way of RNAcentral. Lineage: Eukaryota; Metazoa; Chordata; Mammalia; Proboscidea; Elephantidae.